This 1058-nucleotide long non-coding RNA is filed under the name Zostera marina. RNAcentral describes it as "long non-coding RNA (ZMAR_LNC002084)". The record is from RNAcentral. Lineage: Eukaryota; Viridiplantae; Streptophyta; Magnoliopsida; Alismatales; Zosteraceae.
GGGAAAACGUUUGGAUUUUUAUUUCAUAAUAAAAAAGUUACAUGUGGUGCCCUUAUAUAGAGAUUUACAUGUGUGUGUGCUGAAUUUAAAAAAGUAAAACAAUUAUUAAUAAAAAUUGCAAUUUACCACAUAGUACUAUUAUCAAACCUGGAUGGCAGACGGGUCUCUCUGAUAGGUCGUCUUUCCCUUACUUCUUCCUCGCCGUCUUCCUCCUCGCUAAGACCUUUAGCUGCUGGACCUUUAGUUAUUUCUUCAUGGAUUGCCAGUUCAUCUUCAGACGAUGACGCUAUCGAGCUUGCAAUAGCUUCCUGAUUCUUCAAGGCUUGAUUGAAGGACUCUUCGAUAGCAUUGGAAUCGAAUUUAAGUGCUUCAAUAACUUGCCUUUCCUCCCGUUAUCAAUCUUCCUUGUCUUUAUCUUCUCCCGUGCCAUGAUCAACCCCAACAAACUCCACCUACGGCUGCCACUACCGAUAUCACUAGUAUGGCAAGAACAUCUGGCAAAAAAAGGUACCAAAAUGAUGAGUAAAGAAAUGAAAGGUUGGAAAAAAAAUGAAUUCUUUAUCUUCUGCUACCACCUACCACGUACCACCACUACCUACCGCUAUCACCUCCACUACCUACUGGAAAAAAUGAAAGAUCUACCUACCGCUAUCCCCUCCAUCUUUAUCUUCUUUCUUUCUUGCCUGAAAAAAAUGAAAGGUCGGAAGGGGGGGAAGUGAUGAGUGAAGAAGAGGAGAUAGAUUCAAAUCAUUAUAUGGCAAAAGUUCACAUCAAAUAUACAGUAGCAGUUCUUCUAUCUCCUCCAAUCCCCCCCCCACGAUCUACAGUGUUUGUACUACCAACUCCAACUGUGCGUGCAAUAAAAAUAGCAAUAUUAAAAGAUGAAAAAGAAAAACACUGUUUUCUCCGAUGAUUGGCCGGUGAGAGAUAUUCUGGGAGAUGAUUGGGUAAGUUAGGUUUUAACCUUAACGAGUUGAACCCGAGCCUAAGCCGAGCUAAACUUGACACCCUACUUAGAGAUCGUGGAUACUAGUUGAGGUGGCUACCCUAGGUUUACC